CUGAACUAAACUAACUUUAUUCAUACUGUUUCGUAUUUUUAGCAUUUACAUGAAAAUGGCAUCACUAACAGGGAUUGGAAGCAGGCAAAUAACCCAUUGGAGAAACAAGUCAAAGAAGGGUCGUAUAAAUUUCCGAACAACCUCUGGAAGAAUGUUAGCAGUGAAGCUAAGGAUCUUAUAACAAAACUGCUUACUGUUGGUCACAGAAAAUGCAUCACGGUUUCAGAAGCUCUGGAACAUCCUUGGAUGAAGGAUAAAGAAAUGAUAGAAAAAGCAGAAAAA
Dendronephthya gigantea is the source of this 282-nucleotide long non-coding RNA. RefSeq lists it as uncharacterized. Lineage: Eukaryota; Metazoa; Cnidaria; Anthozoa; Malacalcyonacea; Nephtheidae. The transcript is spliced from 3 exons. The record is from RefSeq and is a predicted model, not a curated record.